AGUGAACGCUGGCGGCAGGCUUAACACAUGCAAGUCGAACGGUAACACACUAUGAGCUUGUUCUGACGGGUGGACGGUGGCGUAAGGGAGAGGAACAUACCCGAAUCUAGGUUUUAGCGCGGCAUAAGGUAGGGUAAUUUACGCUAAGAUCGGAGACGACCUACGGGUGAAAGAGGGGGAACGUUUGACCUUGCGCGUAUGGAUGAGCCGAUGUCGGAUUAGCUAGUUGGGGGGGUAAAGGCCCACCAAGGCGACGAUCCGUAGCUGGUCUGAGAGGACGAUCAGCCACACUGGAACUGAGACACGGUCCAGACUCCUACGGGAGGCAGCAGUGGGGAAUGUUGGACAAUGGGCGCAAGCCUGAUCCAGCCAUACCGCGUGGGUGAAGAAGGCCUUCGGGUUGUAAAGCCCUUUUGUUGGGAAAGAAAAGCAGCAGGUUAAUACCCCGCGGUUCUGACGGUACCGAAAGAAUAAGCACCGGCUAACUUCGUG
Molecule: ribosomal RNA, 492 nt
Filed under: uncultured bacterium
Lineage: Bacteria
Description: partial 16S ribosomal RNA
Rfam family: Bacterial small subunit ribosomal RNA
Source: RNAcentral